AAGAGGUACCGGAACUGACGGAGAAAUGUGGAAUUGACCACGUGAACCGGUAUUAUCUGAAUCAGCCGACCGUCUGGGCAGGGAAA
RNAcentral lists this non-coding RNA (86 nucleotides) under Dialister succinatiphilus. RNAcentral describes it as "ZTP sequence". It matches the Rfam family "ZMP/ZTP riboswitch aptamer (pfl RNA motif)". From Rfam's summary of the family: Previously known as pfl RNA. ZMP is also known as AICAR. The record is from RNAcentral. RNAcentral also lists the same sequence under 1 other name. Lineage: Bacteria; Bacillati; Bacillota; Negativicutes; Veillonellales; Veillonellaceae.